GACGAACGCUGGCGGCGUGCUUAACACAUGCAAGUCGAACGGAAAGGCCCUGCUUUUGUGGGGUGCUCGAGUGGCGAAAGGGUGAGUAACACGUGAGUAACCUGCCCUUGACUUUGGGAUAACUUCAGGAAACUGGGGCUAAUACCGGAUAGGAGCUCCUGCUGCAUGGUGGGGGUUGGAAAGUUUCGGCGGUUGGGGAUGGACUCGCGGCUUAUCAGCUUGUUGGUGGGGUAGUGGCUUACCAAGGCUUUGACGGGUAGCCGGCCUGGGAGGGUGACCGGCCACAUUGGGACUGAGAUACGGCCCAGACUCCUACGGGAGGCAGCAGUGGGGAAUAUUGCAGAAUGGGCGGAAGCCUGAUGCAGCAACGCCGCGUGCGGGAUGACGGCCUUCGGGUUGUAAACCGCUUUCGCCUGUGACGAAGCGUGAGUGACGGUAAUGGGUAAAGAAGCACCGGCUAACUACGUG
This 468-nucleotide ribosomal RNA is filed under the name uncultured bacterium. RNAcentral's name for it is "partial 16S ribosomal RNA". It matches the Rfam family "Bacterial small subunit ribosomal RNA", at positions 28 to 507 of the family's 1533-position model. The record is from RNAcentral.